UCCGGUGGCCGCAGAGAAUAGGCCCAAGCGACUGUUUACCAAAAACAUAGGUUUCUGCUAAGUCGCAAGACGAUGUAUAGGAGCUGACGCCUGCCCGGUGCUGGAAGGUUAAGGGGAUCUGUUAGAGCAAUCGAAGCAGUGAACUUAAGCCCCAGUAAACGGCGGCCGUAACUAUAACGGUCCUAAGGUAGCGAAAUUCCUUGUCGGGUAAGUUCCGACCCGCACGAAAGGCGUAACGAUUUGGGCACUGUCUCAACAACAGACUCGGUGAAAUUGUAAUUCCGGUGAAGAUGCCGGAUACCUGCGACAGGACGGAAAGACCCCAUGGAGCUUUACUGUAGCUUGACAUUGGGUCUUGGUACUACAUGUACAGGAUAGGUGGGAGGCUUUGAAACCAGGACGCCAGUUUUGG
This 412-nucleotide ribosomal RNA is filed under the name Clostridioides difficile. RNAcentral's name for it is "partial 23S ribosomal RNA". It matches the Rfam family "Bacterial large subunit ribosomal RNA", at positions 1769 to 2180 of the family's 2925-position model. The record is from RNAcentral. Lineage: Bacteria; Bacillati; Bacillota; Clostridia; Peptostreptococcales; Peptostreptococcaceae.